AUUCAACCUCAAGUUGAGCAACAGUAACAUUUAAAGGCAAAUUGCGGAUAUAAAUGGAGUGUCCCUCAGCUCUGUACUGAGCAUCUUUAGAUUCAGAUGCAUUACCCCCAGAGGCAGUAUGAAUUGAUGAUUCAGGAACAGGAGCUUGUGCCACUGACUUAACUGGCUGCUUUUCAGUCUUUGCGGGAGCCAUUCUUGAAUUAGAGGGUACAUAGAUUUUGGCGGGCCCUUUCUUUGUUUGAGAACUUACAAUUGAAGCAUAAGAUUUCUUAGGAGCAUCUUCUCGGGAAACUGAAGUAGCUGGUUCUGCAUUAAUAUGGGAUUCAGCACCCACCAUAAUCUCUCUUUCAUCACCAACUACCUUCUCAUUUUCCAAAGAACCAUGAACUACUUCCUCAACAAUUUUUAUAUCUUCUGCAUGAGAGCUAGG
Molecule: unclassified non-coding RNA, 430 nt
Filed under: Hevea brasiliensis (rubber tree)
Lineage: Eukaryota; Viridiplantae; Streptophyta; Magnoliopsida; Malpighiales; Euphorbiaceae
Source: RNAcentral